GGGGUUGUGGCUCAGCGGUAGAGCACUCGCCUAGCAUGUGUGAGGCGCUGGGUUCAAUCCUCAGCACCACA
This 71-nucleotide transfer RNA is filed under the name Marmota monax (woodchuck). RNAcentral's name for it is "tRNA.Ala". It matches the Rfam family "tRNA". Rfam says of the family: Transfer RNA (tRNA) molecules are approximately 80 nucleotides in length. Their secondary structure includes four short double-helical elements and three loops (D, anti-codon, and T loops). The record is from RNAcentral. Lineage: Eukaryota; Metazoa; Chordata; Mammalia; Rodentia; Sciuridae.